Molecule: RNA transcript, 5188 nt
Organism: Tupaia belangeri chinensis (Chinese tree shrew)
Lineage: Eukaryota; Metazoa; Chordata; Mammalia; Scandentia; Tupaiidae
Gene: LRRC8B
Gene name: leucine rich repeat containing 8 VRAC subunit B
Exons: 7
Source: RefSeq, a predicted model, not a curated record
AUGUUCUUGGAGUUGCGAGUGAGGAGGUGACUUUCUUUGCCCAGGCUUUCCUGGUCAGCAACUCCACUGUUGAAGAGAAUAUAAAAUGACAGCUAAUCCUCCAGGGCUCCAGUUUUUAUUUCCACCUGCCUGCUAGACCAUGCCACUCGGAUGGCCAACAGGAAUUUAUUUUAUAUUGAAACUAAUCAUGGAGUUUCCGGUUGAGCAGCAUUCAUAGGAAUGAAGACGAACACAGACAUGGUGUGUCUAAGAAACUUCAAAAGGUGCAGACCUCCUGACUGAAGCAUAACUGAUUUAUUUGAUUCAUUUUUUUUUUCAUUAUAUUUCUGUACUUCUAUAAGGGAAAGUCAUGAUUACACUAACAGAGCUAAAAUGUCUCGCAGACGCCCAGUCAUCUUACCACAUCCUAAAACCAUGGUGGGACGUCUUCUGGUAUUACAUCACCCUGAUCAUGCUGCUGGUGGCUGUGCUGGCCGGAGCACUCCAGCUCACGCAGAGCAGGGUUCUGUGCUGUCUUCCAUGCAAAGUGGAAUUCGACAAUCACUGUGCCGUGCCUUGGGACAUCCUGAAAGUUAGCGUGAACAUGUCCUCUAAUCCUGGGACACCACUCCCGCUCCCCCUCCGGAUCCAGAAUGACCUCCACCGCCAGCAGUACUCCUACAUCGAUGCCGUCUGUUACGAGAAGCAGCUCCAUUGGUUUGCAAAGUUCUUCCCCUACCUGGUGCUCUUGCACACGCUCAUCUUUGCAGCCUGCAGCAACUUUUGGCUUCACUACCCCAGUACCAGUUCCAGGCUCGAGCAUUUUGUGGCCAUCCUUCACAAGUGCUUUGAUUCUCCGUGGACCACCCGCGCCCUUUCAGAAACGGUGGCCGAGCAGUCGGUCAGGCCCCGGAAACUCUCCAAGUCCAAGACUUUGCUUUCGACCUCAGGGUGUUCAGCUGACAUUGAUUCGAGCAAGCAGUCGUUGCCAUACCCACAGACAGGCUUGGAGUCCGCCGGCAUAGAAAGCUCAACUUCCAGUGUCCUGGACAAGAAGGAGGGCGAGCAGGCCAAAGCCAUCUUUGAAAAGGUGAAGAGAUUCCGCCUGCACGUGGAGCAGAAGGACAUCAUUUAUAGAGUGUACCUGAAGCAAAUUAUAGUCAAAGUCAUUUUGUUUGUCCUCAUCAUAACGUAUGUUCCAUACUUCUUAACCUACAUCAGUCUGGAAAUCGACUGUUCAGUUGAUGUGCAGGCUUUUACAGGAUAUAAGCGCUACCAGUGUGUCUACUCCUUAGCAGAAAUAUUUAAGGUCCUGGCUUCGUUCUAUGUCAUCUUGGUUAUACUUUAUGGUCUCACCUCCUCCUACAGCUUGUGGUGGAUGUUGAGGAGUUCCCUGAAGCAAUAUUCCUUUGAGGCAUUAAGAGAAAAGAGCAACUACAGUGAUAUCCCUGAUGUUAAGAACGACUUUGCCUUCAUCCUUCAUCUUGCUGACCAGUAUGAUCCUCUUUAUUCCAAACGCUUCUCCAUAUUUCUCUCAGAGGUCAGUGAGAACAAACUUAAACAGAUCAAUCUCAAUAACGAAUGGACCGUGGAGAAACUGAAAAGUAAGCUUGUGAAAAAUGCCCAGGACAAGGUAGAACUGCAUCUUUUUAUGCUCAGUGGUCUUCCCGACAAUGUCUUUGAGUUAACCGAAAUGGAAGUGCUGAUCCUAGAGCUCAUCCCUGAGGUCAAGUUGCCUCCCGCAGUCUCCCAGCUGGUCAACCUCAGGGAGCUGCAUGUGUGCCAUUCGUCUCUGGUGGUCGACCAUCCUGCAUUGGCCUUUCUGGAGGAGAAUUUAAAAAUCCUCCGUCUGAAAUUCACUGAGAUGGGAAAAAUCCCACGCUGGGUAUUUCAUCUGAAGAAUCUCAGAGAACUUUAUCUGUCGGGCUGUGUCCUCCCUGAGCAGCUGAGUACCAUGCAGUUGGAGGGCUUUCAGGACUUAAAAAAUUUGAGGACCCUCUACUUGAAGAGCAGCCUCUCCCGGAUCCCACAAGUUGUGACAGACCUCCUGCCUUCACUGCAGAAGCUGUCGCUAGAUAACGAAGGAAGCAAACUGGUCAUGUUGAACAACUUGAAAAAGAUGGUCAACCUGAAGAGCCUGGAACUGCUCAGCUGUGACCUGGAACGCAUUCCACACUCCAUUUUCAGCCUGAACAAUUUGCAUGAGCUAGACCUGAAGGAAAAUAACCUUAAAACCGUGGAAGAGAUCAUUAGCUUUCAGCAUCUUCAGAAUCUUUCCUGCUUAAAACUAUGGCACAAUAACAUUGCUUAUAUUCCUGCCCAGAUUGGGGCAUUAUCUAACCUAGAGCAGCUCUUCUUGGACCAUAAUAAUAUUGAGAAUCUGCCCUUGCAGCUUUUCCUAUGCACCAAACUACACUAUUUGGAUUUAAGCUAUAACCACCUGACCUUCAUUCCAGAAGAAAUCCAGUAUCUGAGUAAUCUGCAGUACUUUGCUGUGACCAACAACAAUAUUGAGAUGCUACCAGAUGGGCUGUUUCAGUGCAAAAAGCUGCAGUGUUUACUUUUGGGGAAAAAUAGCCUGAUGAAUCUGUCCCCUCUGGUGGGUGAGCUGUCGAACCUUACUCAUCUGGAGCUCAUUGGUAAUUACCUGGAAACACUUCCUUCUGAGCUGGAAGGAUGUCAGUCUCUAAAACGGAGCUGUCUGAUUGUCGAGGACAAUUUGCUCAGUACUCUUCCUCUGCCUGUAACAGAACGCUUGCAGACAUGCUUAGAUAAAUGUUGAUCUAAAGAGAAGAGACCCGUGUCUCAAAAUCCUUUUCAAAAGUAUGCCUCAGGGCUUUAAAUGAGAAGCAAACUUCCCCAAUUUAUAACGAUGAAAAAUGGAUGAUUCUGACGAACCAAGUGUCUUAGUAAAACAACCCAGUGUCUAGCCCUGAAUUAAACAGAACUUCUCUAUGGCUAGUCACCUAUUCAGUUCAACUACGAAAGUCAUCGGCUACAUCUUUAUUACCCAUGUAAGUUUCUAGAAACCAUUUACUAGUAAGAUUAAUAGUGAAUCUAUAAACUGCUUUCCAUACACUAACUAGGGUAUAGUUACUAGUGCAAACUAUGUUGCUCUUGAUACCAUUGUUUCUAAAUUUCUUUUUGAAUUUUAAUCUUAUACACCAGUGUUUAUGUAGCUUUUGAAAUAACACAGCACUGGCACAUGAAUAACGAAACCACCACUUGACAUACAAAACUAUGGUGUUAAUACCACCUUUACUGUACUAUGGGGCAGGUCUUUAUUUUAUGUGUUCAUAUUCAUUAUAGAGACUUUUAAGUGAAGAAAAUGAAACUUGUUAAAUUAUAUGACUUUAGUUAGCAUUUGAUUUCCAAGGAUGGAUAUGCAUUUUCCAAACAAUAAAUGGGGGUGGGGGGGUUAUUCAGAACAAAGUUUAUGGCUUCUGCUAGCAAUGGCAUGGGUUGCUUUUAUUUGCACGUACAUAACCACAUCCACAUACACAUACAUGUACCCAUGUAUACACAUUUAUAACUUAUUUGUUUCUGGUAUGCUUAAUAUUUUUUCCAAAAUUACAAGAGGUUGGAAGUUAAUACUAGGCUGGCAUUUUUUUGUAUUCAUUACUUGUAAUAUGGAGAUUCUAUUCCCUUAGUUAUGACAUUUCAGAGAAAACCAAAUGCUCAACCUUAGCUUGAGAACCCAAGUGUUUUCCAGCCUUCCUGGGAAGAGGUAGUAUUCUUUCCCUCACCUACGUCAGGGUACAUCUGCCAGUGCAGUACAUAGAUACUGUAUUUCCAUUCUUCAUUCUGUCUUAACGCUUGCCCCUGUAUGUCACCAUAGCUCACUGCCGUUUAAUGAAUGUUUGUGUUAAACAGGGUAAACGGAGCUCCUGGACCUCAGUGCUGUGACAGCUCCCAUAGGUGUGCCCAGGUGUGCUGCCAUGAUUUAUCUGCAUAACAUUAUUGUUCCAUGGUGAAAGUAUUUGGUCCUGUUUGUUAAAUGUUUCAUGAUUCAUAUUUGUAUGUUUAAUUAAAAUAUUGCAUAAUACUGAUGGGUUCAGAAACCAUUAAAAUAAUCAAACAAUUAUUCUGUGGACUUAACGUUAUUUCCUGUAUUUUCAAUGAAAUUUUCUUGCCAUUUUUUUCAUUUUUCUAUUCUCUCAGCAUCCUCCUAUUCACCUAAGGUGUUUUGCUUUCCUUCUCCACUCGCCCACCCCGUUAACUGUGAUCAGCAAUUGUAUAAGGCAGAAUAUAGUCACCCUAGAACACUCGCAGUGAGGGUUGAGCAUCUGUUUAUUUGAGUAGAAGCCAGGUCUGUAAUGUUUAAUUGAGUAGUUUCUACUCCACCUAUCCCUGCAGUAUUUAGAGCUGAUCCUAACAUCCUUCGCCCCCACCAAAAGCAUGAGAGGCUAACUAGAGAUCCACUUUGUUUCCUGCACUUCAGAUCAGAAUCUAUGUUUCCUUCUUUCUAGAAACAAAAGAAAGAUUGGUGGGAGAGAGGAGGAGUUAUUUUGCAUCCUGGUUUGCAUUACAAAGACAUUAUGUAUAUGAAAUGGCAUAAACUAAAAACAUGUUGCAAAACUUGGCUUGGAUAUAAUUAUCUUCAACUGGCUGUGGAAAACUAUUUCAUUGGUUUCAUCUUGUUUCUUGCCCAUCACUACUACAUCCACUGGAAGGUAUCUACUGAUACCUUUGGUAACAGACUCCAUUCUGUUCUACUGUUUUUAUAUGGACAAUAUCAUCAGCACUAAAGCAUUAAUAUAGGAUAUAUGAGCCAAAGUAUGCAUUGAGAUGCUUCCAAUGGAACUUCAUUUCACGUUUAAGUUUUGCUUUUGACUUGUAUACUACACUACUGCUGAGAAAAGCAAUUACGAAUGCCUUCAGCACGUUGCACAUCAUCUCUAACAGAGAGGGUGCAAUUUUAAAUACAAAGGGUUAUAAUGGAUGUGUUUGUGCAUAUAUGUUGUGUACAAGCCUAACUAUGAAUGUUUACAAGAAGAUUUUUUUUAAUUCUUCAAAUGUCUCACUCUCAGUGAAAGAGUGAGCCAGUAAUUGAGACAUUUUCUUUUGUUAGCUCAUAAUGAAGGCUGGCACUUAUUUUAUCUUUGUCACAUAUUUGGAAACAUAUACUAUUGUUUUCUUUUUGCUUCUGGUAAUGAAUUAUUAGAAAGUGUAAGAUUUCGUUCCAUGUUUUUGGCCCUCAGGUUUACCG